Molecule: ribosomal RNA, 474 nt
Filed under: uncultured Comamonadaceae bacterium
Lineage: Bacteria; Pseudomonadati; Pseudomonadota; Betaproteobacteria; Burkholderiales; Comamonadaceae
Description: bacterial SSU rRNA
Rfam family: Bacterial small subunit ribosomal RNA
Source: RNAcentral
AGAGUUUGAUCCUGGCUCAGAUUGAACGCUGGCGGAAUGCUUUACACAUGCAAGUCGAACGGCAGCACGGGGGCAACCCUGGUGGCGAGUGGCGAACGGGUGAGUAAUACAUCGGAACGUGCCCAGUCGUGGGGGAUAACGUAGCGAAAGCUACGCUAAUACCGCAUACGAUCUACGGAUGAAAGCGGGGGAUCGCAAGACCUCGCGCGAUUGGAGCGGCCGAUGGCAGAUUAGGUAGUUGGUGGGGUAAAGGCUCACCAAGCCUGCGAUCUGUAGCUGGUCUGAGAGGACGACCAGCCACACUGGGACUGAGACACGGCCCAGACUCCUACGGGAGGCAGCAGUGGGGAAUUUUGGACAAUGGGCGCAAGCCUGAUCCAGCCAUUCCGCGUGCAGGAUGAAGGCCUUCGGGUUGUAAACUGCUUUUGUACGGAACGAAAAGGCUCCCUCUAAUACAGGGGGCUCAUGACGUAC